This 381-nucleotide ribosomal RNA is filed under the name uncultured marine Chaetocerotaceae. RNAcentral describes it as "SSU rRNA". It matches the Rfam family "Eukaryotic small subunit ribosomal RNA", at positions 587 to 972 of the family's 1831-position model. The record is from RNAcentral. Lineage: Eukaryota; Bacillariophyta; Thalassiosirophyceae; Chaetocerotales; Chaetocerotaceae.
AGCUCCAAUAGCGUAUAUUAAAGUUGCUGCAGUUAAAAAGCUCGUAGUUGCAUUUCCGAGGCAAGGGAUUAGUCCGACCUUUGGUGGGUAUUUAAUCCUCUUGCCUCGUCCUUGAGUGGUGCUUCUUGGUAUUAAGUUAUCGAGGAGAUAGCCGCUCAUCGUUUACUGUGAGAAAAUUAGAGUGUUCAAAGCAGGCUUAUGCCGUUGAAUAUAUUAGCAUGGAAUAAUAAGAUAGGACCUCGGUACUAUUGUGGUGGUUUGAGAACCAAGGUAAUGAUGAAUAGGGACAGUUGGGGGUAUUCGUAUUCAGUUGUCAGAGGUGAAAGUCUUAGAUUUACGGAAGACGAACUACUGCGAAAGCAUUUACCAAGGAUGUUUUCA